RNAcentral lists this ribosomal RNA (254 nucleotides) under uncultured bacterium. RNAcentral describes it as "partial 16S ribosomal RNA". It matches the Rfam family "Bacterial small subunit ribosomal RNA", at positions 524 to 776 of the family's 1533-position model. The record is from RNAcentral.
CACGUAGGCACCAAGCGUUAUCCGGAUUUAUUGGGCGUAAAGAGCUCGUAGGCGGUUCGGCAAGUCGGGUGUGAAAACUCUGGGCUCAACCCAGAGAGGCCACCCGAUACUGCUGUGACUAGAGUGCGGUAGGGGAGCGGGGAAUUCCUGGUGUAGCGGUGAAAUGCGCAGAUAUCAGGAGGAACACCAGCGGCGAAGGCGCCGCUCUGGGCCGUAACUGACGCUGAGGAGCGAAAGCAUGGGUAGCAAACAGG